This 802-nucleotide ribosomal RNA is filed under the name uncultured bacterium. Its description in RNAcentral is "bacterial SSU rRNA". It matches the Rfam family "Bacterial small subunit ribosomal RNA", at positions 8 to 810 of the family's 1533-position model. The record is from RNAcentral.
AGAGUUUGAUUCUGGCUCAGGAUGAACGCUGGCGGCGUGCUUAACACAUGCAAGUCGAGCGAAGCGCUUACGACAGAACCUUCGGGGGAAGAUGUAAGGGACUGAGCGGCGGACGGGUGAGUAACGCGUGGGUAACCUGCCUCAUACAGGGGGAUAACAGUUGGAAACGGCUGCUAAUACCGCAUAAGCGCACAGUAUCGCAUGGUACGGUGUGAAAAACUCCGGUGGUAUGAGAUGGACCCGCGUCUGAUUAGCUAGUUGGAGGGGUAACGGCCCACCAAGGCGACGAUCAGUAGCCGGCCUGAGAGGGUGAACGGCCACAUUGGGACUGAGACACGACCCAGACUCCUACGGGAGGCAGCAGUGGGGAAUAUUGCACAAUGGGGGAAACCCUGAUGCAGCGACGCCGCGUGAAGGAAGAAGUAUCUCGGUAUGUAAACUUCUAUCAGCAGGGAAGAAAAUGACGGUACCUGACUAAGAAGCCCCGGCUAACUACGUGCCAGCAGCCGCGGUAAUACGUAGGGGGCAAGCGUUAUCCGGAUUUACUGGGUGUAAAGGGAGCGUAGACGGAAGAGCAAGUCUGAUGUGAAAGGCUGGGGCUUAACCUCAGGACUGCAUUGGAAACUGUUUUUCUUGAGUGCCGGAGAGGUAAGCGGAAUUCCUAGUGUAGCGGUGAAAUGCGUAGAUAUUAGGAGGAACACCAGUGGCGAAGGCGGCUUACUGGACGGUAACUGACGUUGAGGCUCGAAAGCGUGGGGAGCAAACAGGAUUAGAUACCCUGGUAGUCCACGCCGUAAACGAU